Molecule: transfer RNA, 73 nt
Filed under: Bos taurus (domestic cattle)
Lineage: Eukaryota; Metazoa; Chordata; Mammalia; Artiodactyla; Bovidae
Also listed under: 4 other names
Rfam family: tRNA
About the family: Transfer RNA (tRNA) molecules are approximately 80 nucleotides in length. Their secondary structure includes four short double-helical elements and three loops (D, anti-codon, and T loops).
Source: Rfam by way of RNAcentral
UCCCUGGUGGUCCAGUGGCCAAGACUCCACACUUCUAAUGCAGGGGGUCUGGGUUCGAUCCCUGGUUGGGGAA